UACGUAGGGUGCGAGCGUUAAUCGGAAUUACUGGGCGUAAAGCGUGCGCAGGCGGUUUUGUAAGCCAGAUGUGAAAGCCCCGGGCUCAACCUGGGAAUGGCAUUUGGGACUGCAAGGCUGGAGUACCGGAGAGGAGGGUGGAAUUCCUGGUGUAGCGGUGAAAUGCGUAGAUAUCAGGAGGAACACCGGUGGCGAAGGCGGCCCUCUGGACGGAUACUGACGCUGAGACGCGACAGCGUGGGGAGCAAACAGG
This 253-nucleotide ribosomal RNA is filed under the name uncultured bacterium. Its description in RNAcentral is "partial 16S ribosomal RNA". It matches the Rfam family "Bacterial small subunit ribosomal RNA", at positions 524 to 776 of the family's 1533-position model. The record is from RNAcentral.